RNAcentral lists this ribosomal RNA (253 nucleotides) under uncultured bacterium. RNAcentral's name for it is "partial 16S ribosomal RNA". It matches the Rfam family "Bacterial small subunit ribosomal RNA", at positions 524 to 776 of the family's 1533-position model. The record is from RNAcentral.
UACGUAGGGGGCUAGCGUUGUCCGGAUUUAUUGGGCGUAAAGAGCGUGUAGGCGGCCAUGUAGGUCCGGUGUGAAAACUCGAGGCUUAACCUCGAGAUGUCAUCGGAAACCAUUUGGCUAGAGUCCGGAAGAGGAGAGUGGAAUUCCUGGUGUAGCGGUGAAAUGCGCAGAUAUCAGGAAGAACACCAAUGGCAAAGGCAGCUCUCUGGGACGGUACUGACGCUGAGACGCGAAAGCGUGGGGAGCGAACAGG